This 72-nucleotide transfer RNA is filed under the name Ovis aries (sheep). It matches the Rfam family "tRNA". From Rfam's summary of the family: Transfer RNA (tRNA) molecules are approximately 80 nucleotides in length. Their secondary structure includes four short double-helical elements and three loops (D, anti-codon, and T loops). Lineage: Eukaryota; Metazoa; Chordata; Mammalia; Artiodactyla; Bovidae. The record is from Rfam by way of RNAcentral.
UCCCGGGUGGCUCUGUGGUAGAGAAUCUGUCUGCCAAAGCAGAAGACAUGGGUUCGAUCCCUGAUCCGGGAA